RNAcentral lists this transfer RNA (73 nucleotides) under Candidatus Burarchaeum australiense. RNAcentral describes it as "tRNA-Gln(ttg)". It matches the Rfam family "tRNA". From Rfam's summary of the family: Transfer RNA (tRNA) molecules are approximately 80 nucleotides in length. Their secondary structure includes four short double-helical elements and three loops (D, anti-codon, and T loops). The record is from RNAcentral. Lineage: Archaea; Nanobdellati; Microcaldota; Candidatus Micrarchaeia; Candidatus Burarchaeales; Candidatus Burarchaeaceae.
AGCCCCGUAGUGUAGUGGCCAAGCACGGCAGGCUUUGGACCUGUUGGCGGAGGUUCGAAUCCUCCCGGGGCUA